GAUGAACGCUGGCGGCGUGCCUAAUACAUGCAAGUCGAGCGAACAGACGAGGAGCUUGCUCCUCUGACGUUAGCGGCGGACGGGUGAGUAACACGUGGAUAACCUACCUAUAAGACUGGGAUAACUUCGGGAAACCGGAGCUAAUACCGGAUAAUAUAUUGAACCGCAUGGUUCAAUAGUGAAAGACGGUUUUGCUGUCACUUAUAGAUGGAUCCGCGCCGCAUUAGCUAGUUGGUAAGGUAACGGCUUACCAAGGCAACGAUGCGUAGCCGACCUGAGAGGGUGAUCGGCCCCACUGGAACUGAGACACGGUCCAGACUCCGACGGGAGGCAGCAGUGGGGAAUCUUCCGCAAUGGGCGAAAGCCUGACGGAGCAACGCCGCGUGAGUGAUGAAGGUCUUCGGAUCGUAAAACUCUGUUAUUAGGGAAGAACAAAUGUGUAAGUAACUAUGCACGUCUUGACGGUACCUAAUCAGAAAGCCACGGCUAACUACGUG
Molecule: ribosomal RNA, 497 nt
Filed under: uncultured bacterium
Lineage: Bacteria
Description: partial 16S ribosomal RNA
Rfam family: Bacterial small subunit ribosomal RNA
Source: RNAcentral